RNAcentral lists this ribosomal RNA (253 nucleotides) under uncultured bacterium. RNAcentral's name for it is "partial 16S ribosomal RNA". It matches the Rfam family "Bacterial small subunit ribosomal RNA", at positions 524 to 776 of the family's 1533-position model. The record is from RNAcentral.
UACAGAGGGUGCUAGCGUUGUUCGGAAUCAUUGGGCGUAAAGGGCGUGUAGGCGGUUUGUUAAGUCAUGUGUGAAAUCCCUCGGCUCAACCGGGGAACGACGCAUGAAACUGGCAAGCUAGAGUACCAAAGAGGGGGGUGGAAUUCCCGGUGUAGCGGUGAAAUGCGCAGAUAUCAGGAGGAACACCGGUGGCGAAGGCGGGUCUCUGGGCCGUAACUGACGCUGAGGAGCGAAAGCGUGGGGAGCGAACAGG